AAAAGGCGGCUUUAAUUGCUUUAAAAACCCAGACUUACUUUACCAAACCCCAAAACGACGUCGGUUCUUCCUACCAUACAAAAACUCGCCCAACUCAGUCCAAACAGUAAAGAAGCUUCAACGCACGAGACAAAGACCCAAAAGCAGACUCAGUGGCCCUCACUCUCACCUCAGAGACGAAGAGCUCCAAAAAAGCUUGAGAGAGACUGAGAGAGAGAGAAAGUUAAAGAAAGAAAAAGCAAGAAAACGAAGAGUGCCAGAUCAAUACUGGUAAAGCAACGAGAAAAAGGGGUACUGAGAGAGAAUCUAGGGUUUCGUCGCGGUUCUGAACUGCUGAUCCGACGUCGUUAUGGCGAGUCCGCAGUCGGAACUGUUCGCUAGGACUCCGGUUUCCGGGAGAGCUCUGUCGAUUACACCAGGCGCUAGGAUUCUGCAGAGCCCUUUCAGUGAUGAAGCGAUCUGGAAGCGUCUUAAAGAGGCUGGCUUUGAUGAGGAGUCGAUUAAACGAAGGGACAAGGCUGCGCUCAUUGCCUAUAUUGCUAAGCUUGAAGCUGAGAUUUUUGAUCACCAACACCACAUGGGUCUUCUCAUAAUGGAAAGAAAGGAGUUAGCUUCCAAGUGUGAAGAAGUUAAAGCCUCUAAUGAGACAGCUGAACUUUUGCACAAGCGUGAUCAAGCUGCAUAUGUAUCUGCUUUGGCUGAAGCAAGGAAACGGGAGGAGUGCCUAAAGAAGGUAGUAGGAGUCAAGGAAGAGUGUAUAUCCAGUAUUGAGAAGUCAAUGCAUGAGAUGCGUGCAGAAUCUGCUGAAACAAAGGUUGCUGCUGAGAGUAAAUUGGCAGAAGCACGGAAUCUGGUGGAGGGUGCUCAGAAGAAAUUCACUGAGGCUGAGGCCAAGAUGCAUGUAGCAGAAUCUUUGCAAGCAGAAGCUAGUCGUUUUCACCGUGUCGCUGAAAGAAAGAUGCAAGAAGUUGAAGCACGUGAAGAUGAUCUUAGGAGAAACAUUUUGUCCUUCAAGACAGAUUGUGAUACAAAAGAGAAGGAGAUAAGCCUUGAGAGACAAUCUUUAUGUGAAAGGCAGAAAACCCUGCAGCAAGAACAAGAUAGAUUACUUGAUGCACAAGCCCUGCUUAACCAAAGGGAGGAUUUCAUAUUUGGUCGAUCUCAGGAACUGAAUCGACUUGAAAAAGAGUUAGAAGACGUAAAAGCGAAUAUCGAGAAGGAGCGUAGAGCCCUAGAUGAUGGGAAAUUAAAUCUGGAGCUGACUGAGGCUUCCCUUGUUAAUAGAGAGGAGGCUUUAACAAGAAGAGAAGCUUUGUUGAACAAAAAAGAGCAAGAGAUACUUGUUUUGCAGGAGAAACUUGUGAGCAAGGAAUCUGAUGAGAUUAGGAAAGCCUUAGCAAGCCAUGAAGUUGAGUUAAGAAAAAAGAAGUCUGAAUUUGAUUCGGAGCUGGACGUGAAGCGAAAACUGUUUGAAGAUGAAAUUGAAGCCAAGAGGCGAGCUUGGGAGUUGAGGGAAGUGGAUCUCAAUCAACGAGACGACCUACUGCAGGAAAGGGAGCAUGACUUGGAAGUUCAAUUGAGGACAUUGGUGGAUAGGGAGAAAGAUGUGGCAGAGAUGUCAAAUCUGGUUGAUGAGAAAGAAAAAACUUUGAGAGAUGCUGAGAAGGAGUUUGAGCUGAAUAAUGUUCUUUUGCAAAGAGAAAAGGAAGAAAUUAUCAAAAUGAAGGUAGAGCUUCAGAGCUCCUUGGAUUCACUUGAAGACAAAAGGAAACAACUUGAUUGUGCCAGGGAGAAGUUUGAGGUUUUGAAAACUGAAACAAGUGAGCUUUCAGAUCUAGAGAUGAAACUUAAAGAAGAGAUAGAUUUAGUCAGGGCUCAAAAGCAAGAGCUGAUGGCUGAGGCAGAUAAGUUGGCUGUAGAGAAGGCAAAGUUUGAAUCCGAGUGGGAAUUAAUUGAUGAAAAGAGAGAAGAGCUACGGAAGGAAGCAGAGCAUGUUGCAGAGGAGAGGUUGGCGUUUUCCAAGUUUAUCAAGGAUGAGCAUGAUAACCUAAGGCAGGAGAAGGAGGAAAUGCGAGAUCAGCACAAGCGUGAUGUUGAAUUACUUGUUAGUGAGCGAGAGGACUUCAUGAAUAAGAUGGUUCAUGAGCGUUCUGAGUGGUUUGGCAAGAUGCAGAAGGAACGCGCAGACUUCUUACUUGAAAUUGAGAUGCGGAAGAGGGAAUUGGAGAACUGUAUUGAUAAAAAGCAUGAAGAGUUAGAAUGUUCAUUGAAGGAAAAGGAGAUUGCCUUUGAGCAAGAAAAGAAAAAUGAAUUUCAGAAUAUUAACUCUCUUAAGGAAGAAGCAGCAAAAGAGAGGGAACAGGUUGCUUUAGAAAGGAAAAGGCUUGAGACUGAGAGAAUAGAGAUCAAUUUGGAUCGUGAGCGUAGGGAUCGGGAAUGGGCGGAGCUAAAUAAUUCAAUCGAGGAACUGAGGGUCCAGAGAGAGAAAUUGAAAGAACAGAGGGAAUUAUUGCAUGCAGAUAGAGAAGAGAUUCUUGGUCAGAUUCAACACCUGAAGGAAUUGGAGAGUUUGAAGGCUGCUUUAGAUAGUGCGUCUGCGUCUGAGAUGCAACAAUCUGAUUUGGUGCCUCGCAGCCGGAAAACUUCUAGGCGAUAUUUGAAGCAGUUAACUUCUGUUCGAGAAGCUGAUCAUAAUUCACAUAAUGAAGAAAAUGUUGCCAACAUUAGCAACUCAUCAAUAAUGCUAAAAUCAGGGUUUUCUCCUUCUAGUUCUGCUCGUUUCUCAUGGUUGAAGCGCUGCAGGGAAUUGCUUUUUAAACAGUCUCCUGAGAAGCACCAAACGGAAUAUGAAGAAAAUCAUGUGAUCUCUCGGGAGGAAACAAGUUUGACCGUAACUGAACAGGUAGAUACAUCAAGUAAAUAUGACGGGCAUAGGUACACGGGAAAUGGUAAUUCACCUAGAUUUUUCAGUAAGAGACAGAAUGCUUUUGGUGAACCGAAGGUGAUAGUUGAGGUUCCCUUUGUUGGUGAGACUGUAAAAGGAACACACACUCAAUCUGAAAUUAAGGAAUUUGAUGGUGAAAGUUGUUCCCCCUUAAUUUCUGAACAAGUCUACCAGGGAGGAAGGAAAAGAAGAGUUGACAAAUCUUUGUCUAAUGACGGUUUUGAUCCACUACUUGAGCCCAGGCAGAACCUUAAGAAAAGGAGGCAACAACAAGAUGCCACUGUGAACUCAUCAGAAUAUGCCAACACCCACUGCAUUGCGUCAACACAGGAAAAAGUACUAGAGGAUCAGAAUAUAUCAAUGCCAUUGCCAUCUGAUCAAAUUUGUGAAGGCGCUGAAGAGGGUAGUGCUUUAAUAGUAGAUAAAAUCAUAAAGGUUUCCGAAGUGAUUUUUGAGGAAACUGGAACUGGCAGUCUUGGCAAUGAAGGCAAAUUAGAGGCGCAGAACUCUAUUGUAGAAGCACACCAUGGACAGAAUGGUGUCUUCCAGGGAGCUGUUGGACAAGUUACUGAGCACUGUCAGAUUCAAGCCGAAGAUACAUCCGCAAAGCAUGUGCAGUCCCAGUGAGAUGAUGAUAUUUGAAAGUGUACAGAAGCUUUAGAUUUUGCAAAGCUGUCAUAGUCAAAAGAGAAUAGUAGAGCUCUGGUUGUUCAUAGUGUGUACUUCUAGUCUGUUGCAUGGCUGUCGAAAUAGAUGCAAAUAGAGUGCAUCUUUUGCGGAAAGUCCUCAACUUUAAAGAGGCUCCCUUGUGAUGGCUUGUAUCUUGGAGUGGGCUACUUAUGUCCUUAUGUGAAAUUUGUGAAUGUUUGGUGGUUCUGAUGUUACCUUUUUUUCGUUUGUUCUGGUUGAUAGAUGUGAUCUAUUUUUCUUUCGAGUUCGUAUUUUAGGGCAAACAUGGAGUGUGUUGUGUGGCAUUUGUACUAUAUAGGGGGACCUCGUCUCUGGUUAUGAUCAUGGGUUAUCUGUUGCUACUUGGUGAAAUAUUGUUUCUUUCUUGGUGAUGUUUUUAAGUCCCAGGCAUCAACCGACAAGGAAGGUUUGGUUGUGUGCUUCUGUUUU
Molecule: RNA transcript, 4063 nt
Organism: Prunus dulcis (almond)
Lineage: Eukaryota; Viridiplantae; Streptophyta; Magnoliopsida; Rosales; Rosaceae
Gene name: protein CROWDED NUCLEI 4
Exons: 9
Source: RefSeq, a predicted model, not a curated record